GAGGAGUUGGCUAAGCUAUCUUAGGGUAUGACUUCUCUGGGUAACCCACCCUUGCGUGACUAUUGUGCUAAAUUGAAAGCUUCAAAAUCUUCAAGCCCUAUCUCUCUGAGCCUCUUUGGCAAACACCAAAUAUCAAACAUAGUUAGUUAGUCUUCAAUUCUUUGGUAGAGUUACUGACCAAUAUUCACAGAUCAAAAAGCAUAAUUCCUUGUAGUAGUAUGGGGCAUAAGGCAUUGCAGAGCCAGAGAUGCCAUGUGCAGGAAUUAGGAUUAGUUCAGGCUACUGUACACAAACUGAUAUCUUUGCUACAGGAACUAGCUUGGUAGCUUUAUAAGGUGCUUUGUAUCUGUACAUAGGUUUGUGCAGCGUCAUCAAUGUUCUAGCAAGCUGUUGAAAGUGGGUAAACAAUCUAAUGUAAUUGGAUAUGGUUCAUUUUCUUCUAAUUCUCCUCCUAAGCUGAUGCUCUUGAAAGCCAAAGAUGUAAUCUUGGCACCUACUGCAUUGAACUUAAUCAAGUUUUCAGUAGGGAAAUGCAAGUGCGAGUUGUAAAUGAAUCAGAAUUUGAAAUUAUACGAGCAUCAGUUUUGGGAGGGUUUUGGACCUUAUAGUUCUAUCUUUACUCUUGAUAAAGCUGGAGCAGUUAAUGGUCUGACUGUCUGAGGUUUCAAUGAACUAGUGAAUAGUUGUGAUCAAGGAGUGAUAGAUUACAUGGGUAAAUGUCAAUUCUCGUCAGUUUAAUUGGACAACAAUUGCGGUAAUUUGAUGUAGUUGGUAGUUGUUCUAUGUAGUCUAAUAAAAUCUGCAGAAUUUUUUUGUAAUAUUUUGGAUAUGUGUGCAUCGAAUUAGAUUUAAUGCAAAGUCUAUUAUGCUGGAUGGUGCAAUGACAUCUCAAGCAAAUCAGGAUUCAGAGCUGAUGAAUUCAUACAUGUGUGACAUCAUGUGUUAAGAGCCAUUGUUCUUCCUUUGUACUAUGAUUUGUGGAUCUCAUCUGUCAGAUUCUUGAUCGGGACUUGCUGACCAUAAAGAUUCAUUGGGAGCACCACUUUGCCCUUGUAGGCACUAUGAUGAUAAAGCUGCUGAGGCUGGGCAAGGAUUUUGGAACUGUCCAUGUGUUCCCAUGAGAGAGAGGUUGAUAUAAUUAGUCUAAAAUAUGUCACCUUCUGAUAGUACGUAUUCCUUCUUGCAUGGCAGGCAUGUAACGUAAUUUCAUCAGAAACUUUUAUUUUUGGAAGGUGGAAUCUGCUUCUUGUGUGGUAGGCAUGUAACGUUAUUUCAUCAGAAACUUUUAUCUUUCUGGAAGGUGGAAUCUGUGACAUAAUGAUUUGCGAGGACCUCUUUUGGUCUUCUUAGUUUGGCUUUCUCAAUGAAGUGCUUCCACUUGGCAAAA
Molecule: RNA transcript, 1387 nt
Organism: Rhododendron vialii
Lineage: Eukaryota; Viridiplantae; Streptophyta; Magnoliopsida; Ericales; Ericaceae
Gene name: ferredoxin-thioredoxin reductase catalytic chain, chloroplastic
Exons: 3
Source: RefSeq, a predicted model, not a curated record